Molecule: ribosomal RNA, 743 nt
Filed under: uncultured bacterium
Lineage: Bacteria
Description: bacterial SSU rRNA
Rfam family: Bacterial small subunit ribosomal RNA
Source: RNAcentral
AUUGAACGCUGGCGGCAUGCCUUACACAUGCAAGUCGAACGGCAGCACGGGGGCAACCCUGGUGGCGAGUGGCGAACGGGUGAGUAAUGCAUCGGAACGUACCCAGUUGUGGGGAUGGCCGGCGAAGCCGGAUUAAUACCGCAUACGACCUGAGGGUGAAAGCGGGGACCGAAAGGCCUCGCGCAGUUGGAGCGGCCGAUGUCGGAUUAGCUAGUUGGUGGGGUAAAGGCUUACCAAGGCGACGAUCCGUAGCUGGUCUGAGAGGACGACCAGCCACACUGGGACUGAGACACGGCCCAGACUCCUACGGGAGGCAGCAGAGGGGAAUUUUGGACAAUGGGGGCAACCCUGAUCCAGCCAUGCCGCGUGCGGGAGGAAGGCCUUCGGGUUGUAAACCGCUUUUGUCAGGGAAGAAAUCUUCUGGGUUAAUACCUCGGGAGGAUGACGGUACCUGAAGAAUAAGCACCGGCUAACUACGUGCCAGCAGCCGCGGUAAUACGUAGGGUGCGAGCGUUAAUCGGAAUUACUGGGCGUAAAGCGUGCGCAGGCGGUUUUGUAAGAUCGAUGUGAAAUCCCGGGCUCAACUGGAACUGCAUGUGACUGCAAGGCUGGAGUGCGGCAGAGGGGGAUGGAAUUCCGCGUGUAGCAGUGAAAUGCGUAGAUAUGCGGAGGAACACCGAUGGCGAAGGCAAUCCCUGGGCCUGCACUGACGCUCAUGCACGAAAGCGUGGGGGAGCAAAACA